RNAcentral lists this ribosomal RNA (253 nucleotides) under uncultured bacterium. Its description in RNAcentral is "partial 16S ribosomal RNA". It matches the Rfam family "Bacterial small subunit ribosomal RNA", at positions 524 to 776 of the family's 1533-position model. The record is from RNAcentral.
UACGGGGGGUGCAAGCGUUGUUCGGAAUUACUGGGCGUAAAGCGAGUGUAGGCGGCCCUGCAAGUCAGAUGUGAAAGCCCUCGGCUUAACCGGGGAAGUGCAUCUGAAACUGCUUGGCUUGAGUACCGGAGAGGAAGGCGGAAUUCCCAGUGUAGAGGUGAAAUUCGUAGAUAUUGGGAGGAACACCGGUGGCGAAAGCGGCCUUCUGGACGGAUACUGACGCUGAGACUCGAAAGCGUGGGGAGCAAACAGG